Molecule: ribosomal RNA, 117 nt
Organism: Sinocyclocheilus anshuiensis
Lineage: Eukaryota; Metazoa; Chordata; Actinopteri; Cypriniformes; Cyprinidae
Source: Ensembl
GUCAGCAGCCACAUCACCCUGCAGCCAAAGACUUGUUGUCCACUGAAGCUAAGCAGGGUUGAGCCUGGUCAGUACCUGGAUGGGAGACCACCUGGGAAAACUAGGUUGCUGUUGGAA